GACGAACGCUGGCGGCGUGCUUAACACAUGCAAGUCGAACGGAAAGGCCCUGCUUUUGUGGGGUGCUCGAGUGGCGAACGGGUGAGUAACACGUGAGUAACCUGCCCUUGACUUUGGGAUAACUUCAGGAAACUGGGGCUAAUACCGGAUAGGAUCUCCUGCUGCAUGGUGGGGGUUGGAAAGUUUCGGCGGUUGGGGAUGGACUCGCGGCUUAUCAGCUUGUUGGUGGGGUAGUGGCUUACCAAGGCUGUGACGGGUAGCCGGCCUGAGAGGGUGACCGGCCACAUUGGGACUGAGAUACGGCCCAGACUGCUACGGGAGGCAGCAGUGGGGAAUAUUGCACAAUGGGCGGAAGCCUGAUGCAGCAACGCCGCGUGCGGGAUGACGGUCUUCGGGUUGUAAACCGCUUUCGCCUGUGACGAAGCGUGAGUGACGGUAAUGGGUAAAGAAGCACCGGCUAACUACGUG
Molecule: ribosomal RNA, 468 nt
Filed under: uncultured bacterium
Lineage: Bacteria
Description: partial 16S ribosomal RNA
Rfam family: Bacterial small subunit ribosomal RNA
Source: RNAcentral